CGGGGUGAGUAACGCGUGGGUAACCUGCCUCAUACAGGGGGAUAACAGUUAGAAAUGACUGCUAAUACCGCAUAAGCACACAGAAUCGCAUGAUUCGGUGUGAAAAACUCCGGUGGUAUGAGAUGGACCCGCGUCUGAUUAGCUAGUUGGUGGGGUAAAGGCCUACCAAGGCGACGAUCAGUAGCCGACCUGAGAGGGUGAUCGGCCACAUUGGGACUGAGACACGGCCCAAACUCCUACGGGAGGCAGCAG
This 252-nucleotide ribosomal RNA is filed under the name uncultured bacterium. Its description in RNAcentral is "partial 16S ribosomal RNA". It matches the Rfam family "Bacterial small subunit ribosomal RNA", at positions 100 to 354 of the family's 1533-position model. The record is from RNAcentral.